ACAUCCAGCGAACUUGGCAGAGAUGCCUUGGUGCCUUCGGGAACGCUGAGACAGGUGCUGCAUGGCUGUCGUCAGCUCGUGUUGUGAAAUGUUGGGUUAAGUCCCGNAACGAGCGCAACCCUUAUCCUUUGUUGCCAGCGAUUCGGUCGGGAAACUCAAAGGAGACUGCCGGUGAUAAACCGGAGGAAGGUGGGGAUGACGUCAAGUCAUCAUGGCCCUUACGAGUAGGGCUACACACGUGCUACAAUGGCGCAUACAAAGAGAAGCGACCUCGCGAGAGCAAGCGGACCUCAUAAAGUGCGUCGUAGUCCGGAUCGGAGUCUGCAACUCGACUCCGUGAAGUCGGAAUCGCUAGUAAUCGUGGAUCAGAAUGCCACGGUGAAUACGUUCCCGGGCCUUGUACACACCGCCCGUCACACCAUGGGAGUGGGUUGCAAAAGAAGUAGGUAGCUUAACCUCCGGGAGGACGCUUACCACUUUGUGAUUCAUGACUGGGGUGAAGUCGUAACAAGGUAAGCGUAGCGAG
This 526-nucleotide ribosomal RNA is filed under the name uncultured bacterium. Its description in RNAcentral is "bacterial SSU rRNA". It matches the Rfam family "Bacterial small subunit ribosomal RNA", at positions 984 to 1509 of the family's 1533-position model. The record is from RNAcentral.